GGCUUUUCAGUGUAAGACACAAUCUGCCCUGAAUCCAUCUCCUGCUCCAGCAGGCUGCAGCUCCUGAGGCCAGGCUGGAUAUUCUUUAAGUACAUGGAGGUGCUGCUGCUGAAAUACUUUUGUGCUGUCAUAGGCACCCAACAAUGGUUGGAUUCCUGGGUGUGUCCUGGGGCCUAAUUCCAGCAGAACUUGCCCUGCUCCAGGCUUGGCUGCAGCAUCCACAGAUUCAGUGAGCCAAAGGGGAGCUUUUAAAAGGAAAUCCUGGAGCUGUCAGAGCAGGAUUAAUUUGGCCACUUGACACGGAUGGAACAACCUCCUGCUGACACCUUCAAGGCUGUGCUGCCCUCAGCCAACGUGGGGCUGCCAGGACACCUCAUCCAGAUCCAGCGCCCCGGGCCUGCCUACGUCACCCACACAGGGCCCCUGGUCAGGAGGCUCCUUGAGCAGGACCAGCAGAGAAAGGCUCCAUCCAACCCCCCUGCACAGACAGAGCCGAACAUGGAGCCUCCAGGAGAUGGUCCUGAGGAGCAGCCCCAGGUGCUGAGCAGAGGCAGCAGCCCUGGGAGUGGGAAGGACUCCGUGGGAAUGCCCCCAGCUCAGAGCACUUUGCCAUCACAGUGUGUUUACAACAGGGUUAUUUUUGCAAGGAGACCUCCCUCCCGUGUGCUGCCAUGGAGCAACCUGGUGUGUGCCAGCAGGAAGGACUGAUCUGCCUGCAGCUGGAAGCAAAGCAAAGAAAGAAGAUGCUCUUCAGUGUUUUCUGGAGUCCAUUAAACUACCCAUGCAAACAGCA
Molecule: long non-coding RNA, 793 nt
Organism: Pseudopipra pipra
Lineage: Eukaryota; Metazoa; Chordata; Aves; Passeriformes; Pipridae
Exons: 4
Source: RefSeq, a predicted model, not a curated record